This 541-nucleotide ribosomal RNA is filed under the name Geobacter sp. enrichment culture clone set2_pH6. RNAcentral's name for it is "bacterial SSU rRNA". It matches the Rfam family "Bacterial small subunit ribosomal RNA", at positions 1 to 526 of the family's 1533-position model. Lineage: Bacteria; Pseudomonadati; Thermodesulfobacteriota; Desulfuromonadia; Geobacterales; Geobacteraceae. The record is from RNAcentral.
UGAGUUUUUGAUCAUGGUUCAGAACGAACGCUGGCGGCGUGCCUAACACAUGCAAGUCGAACGUGAUCCGCCCUUCGGGGUGGUGAAAGUGGCGCACGGGUGAGUAACGCGUGGAUAAUCUGCCCGAGGAUUUGGGAUAACAUCUCGAAAGGGGUGCUAAUACCGAAUAAGCCCACGGGGUCUACGGAUCUUGCGGGAAAAGGGGGGGACCUUCGGGCCUCCUGUCCUUGGAUGAGUCUGCGUACCAUUAGCUAGUUGGUGGGGUAAUGGCCUACCAAGGCGACGAUGGUUAGCUGGUCUGAGAGGAUGAUCAGCCACACUGGAACUGAGACACGGUCCAGACUCCUACGGGAGGCAGCAGUGGGGAAUUUUGCGCAAUGGGGGAAACCCUGACGCAGCAACGCCGCGUGGGUGAUGAAGGCCUUCGGGUCGUAAAGCUCUGUCUGGAGGGAAGAAAUGAUUGGGAGCUAAUACCUCUUGAUCUUGACGGUACCUCUGAAGGAAGCACCGGCUAACUCCGUGCCAGCAGCCGCGGUAAUAC